GUCUAUGGCUAUGCCACCCUGAACAUGCCUGACCUCGUCUGAUCUAAGAAGCUAAGCAGGGUUGGCCCUGGUUAGUACUUGGAUGGGAGACCACCUAGGAAUACCAGGUGCAGUAGGCU
Molecule: ribosomal RNA, 119 nt
Filed under: Pteropus alecto (black flying fox)
Lineage: Eukaryota; Metazoa; Chordata; Mammalia; Chiroptera; Pteropodidae
Source: RNAcentral